CGCCUCUUGCUAAAAAAGUAUAAGAGGUCCCGCCUGCCCUGUGACAAAAAGUUUAACGGCCGCGGUAUCUUAACCGUGCGAAGGUAGCGCAAUCACUUGUUUCUUAAAUGGAGACCUGUAUGAAUGGCAUUACGAGGGCCAAGCUGUCUCCUUCUCCUGGUCAAUGAAAUUGAUCUUCCCGUGCAGAAGCGGGAAUAAGAACAUAAGACGAGAAGACCCUUUGGAGCUUAAGACUGCAAGUAGACCCUGAUAAUAAGACCAAGUAAAAAGAACUAAACCAACUGGGCCCCCUACUCCUAAUGUCUUUGGUUGGGGCGACCGCGGGGAAACAAAAAACCCCCAUGUGGAAUGGAAGGACCCUCCUUCCAGAACCAAGACCGACAGGUCUAAGUAACAGAAAUUCUGACCAAAAAGAUCCGGCAAAGCCGAUCAACGAACCGAGUUACCCUAGGGAUAACAGCGCAAUCCCCUUUUAGAGCCCAUAUCGACAAGGGGGUUUACGACCUCGAUGUUGGAUCAGGACAUCCUAAUGGUGCAGCCGCUAUUAAGGGUUCGUUUGUUCAACGAUUAAAGUCCU
Molecule: ribosomal RNA, 577 nt
Filed under: Hyporhamphus dussumieri (Dussumier's halfbeak)
Lineage: Eukaryota; Metazoa; Chordata; Actinopteri; Beloniformes; Hemiramphidae
Description: partial large subunit ribosomal RNA
Rfam family: Bacterial large subunit ribosomal RNA
Source: RNAcentral